This 315-nucleotide ribosomal RNA is filed under the name uncultured eukaryote. Its description in RNAcentral is "partial 18S ribosomal RNA". It matches the Rfam family "Eukaryotic small subunit ribosomal RNA", at positions 1470 to 1796 of the family's 1831-position model. The record is from RNAcentral.
CCCUUAGACGUUCUGGGCCGCACGCGCGCUACACUGACCAGUGCAACAAGCCUCCGUCCUUGGCCGACAGGCCCGGGCAAUCUUUGAACGCUGGUCGUGAUGGGGAUAGACUUUUGCAAUUUUUGGUCUUCAACGAGGAAUUCCUAGUAAACGCAAGUCAUCAACUUGCAUUGAUUACGUCCCUGCCCUUUGUACACACCGCCCGUCGCACCUACCGAUUGAAUGGUCCGGUGAAGCCUCCGGAUUGGCGCGCACCUCGGUGCCGCCGAGAAGUUGGCUAAACCUUACCAUUUAGAGGAAGGUGAAGUCGUAACA